UUACAGCCAUAUCACAUUGAAACAUUGGUUCCCAUACAAUUAAUGAAGUUAAGCAAUGCGAAGCCUGGUCAGUACUUAGAUGGGUGACUGCUUGGGAAUACCAGGUGCUGUAAG
This 114-nucleotide ribosomal RNA is filed under the name Acanthosepion pharaonis. The record is from RNAcentral. Lineage: Eukaryota; Metazoa; Mollusca; Cephalopoda; Sepiida; Sepiidae.